AGGGAUCCAGAUUCGAUAAAAUACACAUGCACCUAAAAACCUGCAAAUCUCUGUUAAAGAAUCACAAUCCUCUUUCAUCCUUCCAAUUGCAUCAACUUUAGUCGGAUUUGGUUUUCUUCCGUAAGAUCCACAUAAAUGUCUAACAAUCACAACCUCUCGUACUCCAAAUACGGACUUCAUACCCGAUAAUGUAAGAUGAACUUCUCCAAGCCGAGUUAAAAUCUUUUCACAAUCUU
RNAcentral lists this long non-coding RNA (236 nucleotides) under Physcomitrium patens. RNAcentral's name for it is "long non-coding RNA (PPAT_LNC009353)". Lineage: Eukaryota; Viridiplantae; Streptophyta; Bryopsida; Funariales; Funariaceae. The record is from RNAcentral.